GACAGAGGGUGCAAACGUUGCUCGGAAUCACUGGGCGUAAAGGGCGCGUAGGCGGGUCGGUAAGUCAGGGGUGAAAUCCCACGGCCCAACCGUGGAAGUGCCUCUGAUACUGCCGGCCUCGAGGGGGAUAGGGGCGUGCGGAACUCAGGGUGGAGCGGUGAAAUGCGUAGAUAUCCUGAGGAACACCGGUGGCGAAAGCGGCGCGCUGGAUCCCUUCUGACGCUGAGGCGCGAAAGCCAGGGGAGCAAACGGG
Molecule: ribosomal RNA, 253 nt
Filed under: uncultured bacterium
Lineage: Bacteria
Description: partial 16S ribosomal RNA
Rfam family: Bacterial small subunit ribosomal RNA
Source: RNAcentral